This 467-nucleotide unclassified non-coding RNA is filed under the name Orthophytum disjunctum. Its description in RNAcentral is "partial 26S-18S rRNA external transcribed spacer". The record is from RNAcentral. Lineage: Eukaryota; Viridiplantae; Streptophyta; Magnoliopsida; Poales; Bromeliaceae.
AUGGCACAAGGGCGUGUCGACAGUGACUCAGACAAGACUCCAGACAUGAGCAAUCAACCACCGAAGAGGCCAUCCUUCUCAGUCAUGUGCUCAUUCGUAUCUUUAGGCCAUCCUUCUUAGUCAUGUGCUCAUUCGUAUCUUUAGGCCAUCCUUUUUAGUCCUGUGCAUUGCGUGUGCCAUAUACCCGGCUUUGCAGGAAGUCAACGUACCCUAUGUGCCAAUUCACCUCACCGCCUCGAGCGGGAGGCACUAGCGUGCACCUUAACGACACAACCUUUGGGCCCCGUGCUAGCUGGGCUCCUGAAGUAUCGCAAGCUCUUGCGAAUCCAGCAGGCUUCAGGGACUUCGGCCUUCGGCCUGGACUUUGAUAGGUCAUUAAGCCACGCUCGUUGAGACAACGAUCGAUCCACCGAUGGGCCCCCUCCGCUCCCUGCGGGCGGUCGAGCGCCUUGACAACACCGGCAUCG